RNAcentral lists this unclassified non-coding RNA (330 nucleotides) under soil metagenome. RNAcentral's name for it is "partial contains 5.8S ribosomal RNA, internal transcribed spacer 2, and large subunit ribosomal RNA". The stretch from base 1 to 120 matches the Rfam family "5.8S ribosomal RNA", at positions 35 to 154 of the family's 154-position model. The record is from RNAcentral.
GAUGAAGAACGUAGCGUAAUGCGAUAAGUAAUGUGAAUUGCAGAAUUCAGUGAAUCAUCGAAUCUUUGAACGCACAUUGCGCCCUCUGGUAUUCCGGGGGGCAUGCCUGUUCGAGCGUCAUUACAACCCUCAAGCUUUGCUUGGUAUUGGACAUUGCCAGUUUCUGGCAGGUCUUAAAAUCAGUGGCGGUGCCAUUUGGCUUCAAGCGUAGUAAUUCUUCUCGCUUUGGAGAUCCAGGUGGUUACUUGCCAAUAACCCCCAAUUUUUUCAGGUUGACCUCGGAUCAGGUAGGGAUACCCGCUGAACUUAAGCAUAUCAAUAAGCGGAGGA